Long non-coding RNA from Populus euphratica (Euphrates poplar), 425 nucleotides. RefSeq lists it as uncharacterized. The transcript is spliced from 2 exons. NCBI's taxonomy places the organism in Eukaryota, Viridiplantae, Streptophyta, Magnoliopsida, Malpighiales, Salicaceae. The record is from RefSeq and is a predicted model, not a curated record.
AAAAAAAAAACUAAACAAUUUUCCGAAAAUAAACAAACCCCGUAUCUCGCCAGCUCAAAUGUGCCGUCCAUCUCUUCAUCGACACCUAGUUUUCAAACAAGGUAAGGACUCAACCACGUAUACUAAAUCUCAGCCCUUAAUCAUUCAGCUAACCUACUAAUCCUGUCCGUCUAUUCUCCCAGAGCCUCUAUAUAGUCGCCCACCCGCCAUUCAGCCUUUUUUGCCUUCUUGGUUCAGCUCUUGUAUUCCCAGAUCUACCCUUCAUGGAUUCCCCUUCGAUCUUUUGUAUUCCAGGUUCAGCUAGAUCGCUCUGCGAUCUUUAUCCUGAUAUCAGACUUGAUGGUCGAAGUUCAACACCGUGAUUUUGCGGUCUGUUAUCUUAUUUGAUAGGAGAUCGCUCCUGAGAUACGGCGGAGCUCUGUUUC